UUUAUGAUGUACAGACACCAAUAGGUGGAUUGUUAGGCUUGAGAAGAGAUGAAGGACGUGGCAAGCUGCGAUAAGCUCGGAGUAAGUGCAUGCGACUGUUGAUUCCGAGAUGUCCGAAUUAGUAUCUUAUACAAUGUAUACGCCAUUAUUGUAAUGAUAGUGGCGAUCGAACCGUGGGAAUUGAAGCAUCUUAGUACCACGUGGAAAAGAAAUCAAUGAGAUUUCCUUAGUAGCGGCGAGCGAAAUGGAAACAGCCCAAACCGAAUUUAUUAUGGUAACAUAAUAGAAAUGUGGGGUUUUGGUAUGAUUAUUAUAGUCCAAAAGCAUAAUCGAAGUAUUCUGGAAAGUAACGGUGUAGAGGGUGAUACCCCCGUAGAUGAAAUGUAAUUGGAUUUUUAUCAUUACCAGAGUAGUUGUCCUUGGCAGUGGGCAAUGAAUAUAGGUGAAAAUAGCAUCUAAGGCUAAAUAUUUCUCAAGACCGAUAGUGUAAUAGUACCGUGAGGGAAAACUGAAAAGUACCCCGGAAGGGGAUUGAAAAGUGUAUGAAACCUAUUGGUUACAUAAGUACAGAGCAUGGAAGAUGAUUUUUUAAAUUUGAUAUUUUAGUAAUAAAAUUGAUAAUUUAAAAGCCGAAUCAUCGGUGUUAUGUAUUCCGUCUAGAAACACGGGCCAGGGAGUUUACUAUCAUGGCAAGCUUAAGCUCUAAUAAAGCGUAGGCAAAGGGAAACCAAAUUUUCGCAACAGUAAUGUGAGGAAAAGCGUAUGAAAGUGCGUUAAGUCAUGGGAGUAAGACUAGAAGCCAGUCGAUCUAUUCCUGAGCAAGAUGAAGAUGAGCGAAAGCUCAUUGGAGGUCUGCAGCAGUUCUGACGUGCAAAUCGUUUGUGUGACUUGGGAAUAGGGGUCAAAAACCAAUCUAGACUGGCGAUUGCUAGUUCCAACCGAAGCGUCUCGUAGGGCGUACUCUGUUAAGAUGGCGUAUUCUGUAGAGCACUGAUAAUGUAGUAUGGGAAAGAAAUUUCUCACUCCAUAUUCAAACUCCGAAUGGAUAUGCAUCGUAGACGCAGGGAUACGGGUUCAUGUGACGUAAGGUUCAUGACCGAGAGGGGAUUAACCCAGACUAAAGUUAAGGUCCCGGAAUUUUUACUAAGUGUCAAGCAAAAGGGUGUAUUUAUGCCAAGACAGCAGGAAGGUAAGCUCAGAAGUAGCCAUCCUUUAAAAAGUGUGUAACAACUUACCUGCCAAGCGUAGAUGCCCCGAAAAUGGACGGGGCUAAAGUAAAAUACCGAUACUUUAGAUAAUUAUUAUAAUUAAUAAUUUAUGGUAGGUUGGCGUAGUGAUUGGGUAGAAGCAGGGUAGUGAUAUCCUGUGGACCGAUUUCUAUUGCAGAUCCUGGUAGUAGUAACAGCCUAGUAUGGUGAGAAUCCAUACCACCGCAAGCGUAAGGGUUUCCAGGCAAUGCGUUAUCAGCCUGGAGUUAGUCGAUCCUAAGAAUAAUCUUAACUGACUUAUUCGAAUGGGAAACUAGUUAAUAUUCUAGUACUAUAUAAUUGAUGUUUGAUCUAUACUUUAUGCUUUUGGAUAAGGAUUGUAUAAUUAUCGUUAUAUCCAACUAUUAUAAAAUUGGGGAGUGUCGUAAUGACGAGAACUAAUUUUAUGUAGGAGUGGCUUUGCGUUAGCAGAGUUUUCUUGAUUCCAAGAGACAAUGAAAAAUUGUAUGGUUAGUUGAUUGUAUAAUCGUACCGAGAUCCGACACAGGUGCGCUAGAUUAGUAAUCUAAGGUGCUACGGGUAUACCGUAGGCGAGGGAAUUCGGCAAAUUAGUCUUGUAGCUUAGGUAUAAGAGAUGCCUGCUGUUUUAAUGAAGAAUUGGAAUAGCAGGUUGCAAUGACAAGGGGGUUCCGACUGUUUAAUAAAAACACAGGCGACUGCUAGUCCGAAAGGAUUUGUAUAGUCGCUGAAUCCUGGCCGGUGCGGGUACCUAAAACUUGGGUUCAACCGAGCUAAGGGCCCGUUAACGCCGGGAGUAACUCUGACUCUCUUAAGGUAGCCAAAUGCCUUGUCGGGUAAGUUCCGACGCGCAUGAAUGGAACAACGAGAGCCCCACUGUCCCCGCCUACAACCCGGUGAAGCUACAUAAGGUGGACGAACAGUCCAUCAUCUUCCAUCGGGGAGAGAAGACCCCGUGGAGUUUUACUGCAGCUUGUACUUGUAAUAUAGUAAACAUUGCAUAGAGUAUCUGGGAGCCAUGCUUGAUGUUCUCUGGGAUGUCAAGAAGCGCCGAUGUAACACCAGACUUUGUUUACAGUAUUACUUAUCUAAUUUUAAUUAGAGACAUGUGCAGGUGGGCAGUUCGGCUGGGGCGGCACCCCUUUGAAAAGAUAUCAAAGGGGCCCAAAGUUCAGUUCAAACGGGACAGAAAUCCGUUGAAGAGGGCAAAGCCAUAAACUGGACUGACUGGAUUUCCAAACGCACGGAAUUCAGGGACGAAAGUCUGGCUUAGCGAUCCUUCGUGUGCCCACUAUUGGGGCCCGGAGGUGACAGAAAAAUUACCCCAGGGAUAACAGGCUUGUCGCGGGCGAGAGUUCCUAUCGACCCCGCGGUUUGGUACCUCGAUGUCGGCUUUUCCUAUCCUGGUCCUGCAGCAGGGGCCAAGGGUGAGGCUGCUCGCCUAUUAAAAGGGAACAUGAGCUGGGUUUAGACCGUCGUGAGACAGGUCGGUCUCUGCCUGAUGGAAGUGUGAUUGUUUGAGGGGAAGUUGCUCCUAGUACGAGAGGAACAGAGCAACGUGGCCGCUGGUCUACCGGUUGUCCGAUAGGGCAGGCCGGGCAGCUAAGCCAUUUGGACUAAGUGCUGAAAGCAUCUAAGCACGAAUUCCAUCCUGAAACGAGACAAUCUAUCGUAAGAUGAAGGUAUGCAGUAGAAGACUGCGUUGAUAGAAAAGAGGUGUAAACUACAAGUUUUUACGAGUAGUGUAGCCUGCUUUUACUAAUAUACCAAAACAUCAGUUG
Molecule: ribosomal RNA, 3007 nt
Filed under: Nitrosopumilaceae archaeon
Lineage: Archaea; Thermoproteati; Nitrososphaerota; Nitrososphaeria; Nitrosopumilales; Nitrosopumilaceae
Description: 23S ribosomal RNA
Rfam family: Archaeal large subunit ribosomal RNA
Source: RNAcentral